This is an RNA transcript of Rhododendron vialii, 2431 nucleotides long. It is a transcript of the gene named amino acid transporter AVT6E, with no coding region annotated. NCBI's taxonomy places the organism in Eukaryota, Viridiplantae, Streptophyta, Magnoliopsida, Ericales, Ericaceae. The record is from RefSeq and is a predicted model, not a curated record. The transcript has 2 exons.
UCUACUUUCAGCUGCUUUUUCGCAAUAGACGGCGCAGAACUCCAACGCCCAAAUCGUCCAAUAAGAUAGAUCCGCUCCAAUUCUCUCUCUCUCUCUCUCUCUCUCUCUCCUCGGACGUUAUCGAAAGAUAACAGUUGACUCUGAGAUCUAGGGUUUCAAAUUUCAAUCUCUCUCCCUAUUUUCAAUCUAAAUUACAAAAGUUCAUCCAAUCCAUCCGUAAGUUAUCUUUUCCGUACACCAUUUCUAUGCAUUCAUAGACAUCCAUUUGCACGCACAAAUUUUGAAUUUUUCUGUAUCUGUUCACCAGCUAUAGAAAUGGAAAGUAAUUAUUCAGCUCUUCCCAAGAACUCAUUUGUAGAAUUACAAUUGCAAGAUGAUAACUUUGGAUCGAGAAACCCUAGAUCUUCUCCCAAAGACACGUCUCUGAAACUCCUCCCUCUACAUGGUGACCAAAACCAUUUGAAACAACACAAUGUAGAUCCGGAGAUGGACGACGACAUCGAUUUUGAUAACCUGCCCCUUAUUUUCGGGGGUAGCAACACCGGGUCCGGGAUUUACGGGGCCGUUUUUAACCUCACCACAUCGAUUAUCGGGGCCGGGAUUAUGGCCCUCCCCGCCACAAUGAAAGUUUUGGGUUUGGUUUUAGGGGUUGUUUUGAUUUUCUUGAUGGGUAUUCUUUCUGAGUUUAGUGUUGAAUUGCUUGUUCGGUUUACGGCUCAGUGUAAGGCGGCUUCUUAUGGUGAGGUUGUACAAGCUGCGUGUGGUAGGCCUGCUAGGAUUUUGUCCGAAAUUUGCAUAAUUGUGAACAAUGCCGGUGUUUUGGUAGUUUACUUGAUUAUUAUCGGUGAUGUUAUGUCUGGUUCACUGCAUCAUGUUGGGGUAUUUGAUCAGUGGUUGGGAAAUGGUGUGUGGGAUCAUCGAAAGCUGGUGAUUUUAGUUGUCCUUGUGAUUUUUCUUGCACCACUUUGUGCCUUGGAUAAGAUUGAUUCGUUGAGCUUGACUUCAGCUGCUUCAGUAGCUCUUGCUGUUGUCUUUGUUUUGGUUGCUUUCCUCAUCGCGAUUAUUAAGCUUGUUGAAGGCACUAUUGAGGCUCCAAGAAUGACACCUGAUUUUGGGUCGAAGCAGGCUAUUUUGGAUUUGCUUGUGGUGAUUCCAAUCAUGUCGAAUGCUUAUGUGUGCCAUUUCAAUGUUCAGCCUAUUUAUAAUGAGCUUGAAGGACGGUCGAUUCAGAAGAUGAAUCAAGUUGGAAGGAUCACUACUGUUCUUUGCGUUGUGAUUUAUGCUUCAACUGCCAUUUCAGGUUAUCUACUCUUUGGAAAGAACACUGAAGCCGAUGUGCUGACUAACUUCGAUAAAGACCUUGGAAUUCGUUUUAGCACGGCUUUGAACUACAUUGUCCGAAUCGGGUACGUUUUCCACUUGGUUCUUGUUUUCCCUGUUAUCCAUUUCUCCCUCCGGCAAACAGUGGAUUCCUUGGUGUUUGAGGGAUCAGCUCCCCUGUCUGAGAGUAGGAAGAGGUCUUUGGGCUUAACUGCAGUACUUCUGUUACUUAUAUAUCUCGGAUCGACAGUGAUUCCCAACAUUUGGACUGCUUUUAAGUUCACAGGGGCAACUACGGCUGUCUCGUUGGGUUUUAUAUUCCCGUCGCUUAUUGCGUUAAGAUUAGGUAAACAAGGGCAUGGUUUGACCCACAUCGAGAAGCUUUUGUCUUGGUUCAUGUUGGUAUUGGCAAUGAUAGUCAGCAUCGUUGGGGUUGUUGGAAAUAUCUAUAGUCUCAAAAGCAAAUCCGAAUAACUCUCUCCUUUUCAAACGAGGGUAUUCUUUACUUCUGUGUCAAUUUGAUGAACGCCCCAGAAUGGAAGGGUAAAUUUCACUAAUUCUUAUUGUUGCUGCCCUCCUUGUACGGUUCACUGAAGUGAAGAUAAUUUGGCAUGAAGUAGACAGUUCACCAAUGAGAUGAAUGUUGCAACACAUCAUGUCGAUAUGUGCUGAUUUGAUCAGGAACUGGUGAUAAGGCCUUGUAUUUCUCGUAACGUAACUACCACAUGAAUGUCUGGGCCAGCUUACGCGCACCUCAACUCUUUCCCUUUGUCCGGUCAAAAGACAAGUCAUCAGUGCCGAAACUAGAGGAUUUACAAGAGAUUUCUCUAUUGCAGCCCGACCCCAAGAGGUUGGCAAGUUUCGAACUCGCUAGGUUUACAGCUUAUCCUUGUUGGCUUGUUGCCACUAGAACUACCUUGAUAUUUAUGUGGGCAUUUAUGCCCACGUCAACAAAUAAUGAGUAAAGUACCUCUCUAUGAUAUGGGCAUUAAUGAUCAAGAUAAAAUAGUAAAGGGGCCUUUGUUUAGAGUGCUUGCAACUUGCAAGUGCGAUACUCAAAUGAUAAGUUUGUGGUCCUAUGGCUCACGUGCCCCAGUCUGAGGUCUAUUUA